RNAcentral lists this ribosomal RNA (520 nucleotides) under uncultured eukaryote. RNAcentral's name for it is "SSU rRNA". It matches the Rfam family "Eukaryotic small subunit ribosomal RNA", at positions 21 to 549 of the family's 1831-position model. The record is from RNAcentral.
UAGUCAUAUGCUUGUCUCAAAGACUAAGCCAUGCAUGUCUAAGUAUGAAUGUUAUACAGUGAAACUGCGAAUGGCUCAUUAAAACAGUUAUUGUUUAUUUGAUAAUCAAAUUUACAUGGAUAACCGUGGUAAUUCUAGAGCUAAUACAUGCUGAUAUGCCUGACUCUUAGGAAGGGCUGUAUUUAUUAGAUAACAAACCAAUAUUCCUCGUGUCUAUUGUGAUGACUCAUAAUAACUGAUCGAAUCGCAUGGACUUUGUCCGCGAUACAUCAUUCAAGUUUCUGCCCCAUCAGCUUUCGAUGGUAGUGUAUUGGACUACCAUGGCUUUAACGGGUAACGGAGGAUUAGGGUUCGAUUCCGGAGAGGGAGCCUGAGAAACGGCUACCACAUCUAAGGAAGGCAGCAGGCGCGUAGAUUACCCAAUCCUAAUUCAGGGAGGUAGUGACAAGAAAUAACGGACUGAGGCCUACGCUUCAGGAUUGCAAUGAGUAGAAUUUAAACCCCUUUGCGAGGAUCAGUU